GUGCCAGCCGCCGCGGUAAUACCGGCAGCCCAAGUGAUGGCCGCUGUUAUUGGGCCUAAAGCGUCCGUAGCUGGCCGCACAAGUCCGUCGGGAAAUCCACGUGCUUAACACGUGGGCGACCGGCGGAAACUGUGUGGCUUGGAACCGGAAGGCUCAGAGGGUACGUCCGGGGUAGGAGUGAAAUCCCGUAAUCCCGGACGGACCACCGAUGGCGAAAGCACUCUGAGAAGACGGCUUCGACAGUGAGGGACGAAAGCUAGGGUCUCAAACCGGAUUAGAAACCCGGGUAGUCC
RNAcentral lists this ribosomal RNA (293 nucleotides) under uncultured bacterium. Its description in RNAcentral is "partial 16S ribosomal RNA". It matches the Rfam family "Archaeal small subunit ribosomal RNA", at positions 455 to 747 of the family's 1478-position model. The record is from RNAcentral.